RNAcentral lists this ribosomal RNA (430 nucleotides) under uncultured bacterium. RNAcentral describes it as "bacterial SSU rRNA". It matches the Rfam family "Bacterial small subunit ribosomal RNA", at positions 355 to 776 of the family's 1533-position model. The record is from RNAcentral.
UGGGGAAUAUUGCGCAAUGGGCGAAAGCCUGACGCAGCAAUGCCGCGUGAGUGAGGAAGGUUUUCGGAUUGUAAAGCUCUGUCAGGAUGGAAAAACGGCUUAGAGUCUAAUAGGCUUUAAGUUUGAUGGUACAUCCAAAGGAAGCACCGGCUAACUUCGUGCCAGCAGCCGCGGUAAUACGAAGGGUGCAAGCGUUGUUCGGAUUUAUUGGGCGUAAAGCGUACGCAGGCGGAUAGGUAAGUCAGAUGUGAAAUCCCAGAGCUCAACUUUGGAACUGCGUCUGAAACUGUUUAUCUAGAGUCUUAGAGGGGGAAGGGGAAUUUCGCAUGUAGGGGUAAAAUCCGUAGAGAUGCGAAGGAACACCUGGAGUGAAGACGCCUUCCUGGAAAAGUACUGACGCUGAGGUACGAAAGCGUGGGGAGCAAACAGG